GCCGGGCGUGGUGGCGGGUGCCUGUAAUCCCAGCUACUUGGGAGGCUGAGGUAGGAGAAUUGCUUGAACCCAGGAGGCAGAGGUUGCAGUGAGCCAAGAUCAUGCCACUGCACUCCAACCUGGGCGACAGAGCAAGACUCUGUCUCCA
RNAcentral lists this non-coding RNA (148 nucleotides) under Pan troglodytes (chimpanzee). Lineage: Eukaryota; Metazoa; Chordata; Mammalia; Primates; Hominidae. The record is from Rfam by way of RNAcentral.